GGUCAUGGCUCAGUGGUAGAGCUUCCCUAGCACAAGUGAGGUACUGGGUUCGAUCCCCAGCACCA
This 65-nucleotide transfer RNA is filed under the name Marmota monax (woodchuck). RNAcentral describes it as "tRNA.Cys". Lineage: Eukaryota; Metazoa; Chordata; Mammalia; Rodentia; Sciuridae. The record is from RNAcentral.